GACGAACGCUGGCGGCGUGCUUAACACAUGCAAGUCGAACGGAAAGGCCCCCUUGUGGGGUACUCGAGUGGCGAACGGGUGAGUAACACGUGAGUAACCUACCCUUGACUUUGGGAUAACUUCAGGAAACUGGGGCUAAUACCGGAUAGGAGCUCCUGCUGCAUGGUGGGGGUUGGAAAGUUUCGGCGGUUGGGGAUGGACUCGCGGCUUAUCAGCUUGUUGGUGGGGUAGUGGCUCACCAAGGCGUUGACGGGUAGCCGGCCUGGGAGGGUGACCGGCCACAUUGGGCCUGAGCUACGGCCCGGCCUCCUCCGGGAGGCAGCAGUGGGGAAUAUUGCACAAUGGGCGGAAGCCUGAUGCGGCAACGCCGCGUGCGGGAUGACGGCCUUCGGGUUGUAAACCGCUUUCGCCUGUGACGAAGCGUGAGUGACGGUAAUGGGUAAAGAAGCACCGGCUAACUACGUG
Molecule: ribosomal RNA, 465 nt
Filed under: uncultured bacterium
Lineage: Bacteria
Description: partial 16S ribosomal RNA
Rfam family: Bacterial small subunit ribosomal RNA
Source: RNAcentral